This 684-nucleotide ribosomal RNA is filed under the name uncultured Bacillus sp. RNAcentral describes it as "bacterial SSU rRNA". It matches the Rfam family "Bacterial small subunit ribosomal RNA", at positions 70 to 739 of the family's 1533-position model. Lineage: Bacteria; Bacillati; Bacillota; Bacilli; Caryophanales; Bacillaceae. The record is from RNAcentral.
AGAAGGGAGCUUGCUCCCGGAUGUUAGCGGCGGACGGGUGAGUAACACGUGGGUAACCUGCCUGUAAGACUGGGAUAACUCCGGGAAACCGGAGCUAAUACCGGAUAGUUCCUUGAACCGCAUGGUUCAAGGAUGAAAGACGGUUUCGGCUGUCACUUACAGAUGGACCCGCGGCGCAUUAGCUAGUUGGUGAGGUAACGGCUCACCAAGGCGACGAUGCGUAGCCGACCUGAGAGGGUGAUCGGCCACACUGGGACUGAGACACGGCCCAGACUCCUACGGGAGGCAGCAGUAGGGAAUCUUCCGCAAUGGACGAAAGUCUGACGGAGCAACGCCGCGUGAGUGAUGAAGGUUUUCGGAUCGUAAAGCUCUGUUGUUAGGGAAGAACAAGUGCAAGAGUAACUGCUUGCACCUUGACGGUACCUAACCAGAAAGCCACGGCUAACUACGUGCCAGCAGCCGCGGUAAUACGUAGGUGGCAAGCGUUGUCCGGAAUUAUUGGGCGUAAAGGGCUCGCAGGCGGUUUCUUAAGUCUGAUGUGAAAGCCCCCGGCUCAACCGGGGAGGGUCAUUGGAAACUGGGAAACUUGAGUGCAGAAGAGGAGAGUGGAAUUCCACGUGUAGCGGUGAAAUGCGUAGAGAUGUGGAGGAACACCAGUGGCGAAGGCGACUCUCUGGUCUGUAA